GAUGAACGCUGGCGGCGUGCCUAAUACAUGCAAGUCGAGCGAACGGACGAGAAGCUUGCUUCUCUGAUGUUAGCGGCGGACGGGUGAGUAACACGUGGAUAACCUACCUAUAAGACUGGGAUAACUUCGGGAAACCGUAGCUAAUACCGGAUAAUAUUUUGAACCGCAUGGUUCAAAAGUGAAAGACGGUCUUGCUGUCACUUAUAGAUGGAUCCGCGCUGCAUUAGCUAGUUGGUAAGGUAACGGCUUACCAAGGCAACGAUGCAUAGCCGACCUGAGAGGGUGAUUGGCCACACUGGAACUGAGACACGGUCCAGACUCCUACGGGAGGCAGCAGUAGGGAAUCUUCCGCAAUGGGCGAAAGCCUGACGGAGCAACGCCGCGUGAGUGAUGAAGGUCUUCGGAUCGUAAAACUCUGUUAUUAGGGAAGAACAUAUGUGUAAGUAACUGUGCACAUCUUGACGGCACCUAAUCAGAAAGCCACGGCUAACUACGUG
RNAcentral lists this ribosomal RNA (497 nucleotides) under uncultured bacterium. RNAcentral describes it as "partial 16S ribosomal RNA". It matches the Rfam family "Bacterial small subunit ribosomal RNA", at positions 28 to 507 of the family's 1533-position model. The record is from RNAcentral.